AUCGGGGGUGCCCAUAAUGGCUGAGACGGCGAGCGCCGAACCCUUUAACCUGAUACGGAUAAUGCCGGCGUAGGGAGUAUUGAUU
RNAcentral lists this non-coding RNA (85 nucleotides) under human gut metagenome. RNAcentral describes it as "TPP riboswitch (THI element)". The stretch from base 3 to 77 matches the Rfam family "TPP riboswitch aptamer (THI element)", at positions 10 to 89 of the family's 105-position model. From Rfam's summary of the family: Vitamin B(1) in its active form thiamin pyrophosphate (TPP) is an essential coenzyme that is synthesised by coupling of pyrimidine and thiazole moieties in bacteria. The previously detected thiamin-regulatory element, thi box was extended, resulting in a new, highly conserved RNA secondary structure, the THI element, which is widely distributed in eubacteria and also occurs in some archaea. The record is from RNAcentral.